RNAcentral lists this long non-coding RNA (1970 nucleotides) under Homo sapiens (human). Its description in RNAcentral is "non-protein coding lnc-ZEB1-12:1". The record is from RNAcentral. Lineage: Eukaryota; Metazoa; Chordata; Mammalia; Primates; Hominidae.
CCUUUGCGCGCACCUCCGCGGCGCCGCCGCCGCCGCCGCCGCGCCUCCCGCACACGCCUCCCCCCGACUCCACCGCCCUCGGCGGGCACAGCCCGGCCCCGGCGCGCCUUUGUGCAGCGCCUCGCCAACCUGCCCUCCGUCCGCCAGGACCCGCGCCCUGCACCUCACCGGGAGCCCGGCGGCCUCGCAGCAGGCGGCUCCCUUCUUAGUCCGCCCCGCGGCUGCGGGUCGACGACGCGAGCCCGAAGAGCGUUCACACGGCUACGGCCGCGGCCGGCCCGUCCCCGCAGGCUGGCCUCUGAGGGAGGCCUAAUCUCGGAUGAUACCACAAUGCCCACAGUAUGCUGAUCACCACCAACAGCAGAUGGAGGCGGAUAAAAAGAGCUUUCUCGCUAGUGUGUUGUUUUAAAAGAACCUGAUGGAGAGCUAUGAUCAUAUGUAACACUGCCUCUAGUUAGUUUUUAAAUAACACUUGUAGCAUAUGUCUGGCGCCUGUGCUCAGGAUUUCAACAGAUCAUUUUCAGGAUUUUGACAUUUAACUGGCUUCUUAUGAAGUAGCAGAGAGUUCCAAAAUGUAGAACUGAAAUAUAAGCUCCACACACAGGCAGAGAUUUGAGUCUGAUUUGUUUGUGUGUAUAUCCCAAGUGCCUAAAAGCACUUGGCAUACGGUAGAUGCACAAUAGAUUCCUGUUAAAUGUAUUUUUAGGUGAAAAUGUAGUCUGUACUUUGCAUAAACUUGUCCUACUUUCUUCCUAGUUCUUUAAUAAGUAACCUACUUUUCAUUAUAUAUUUUUAAAUGAAAAAACAAAAUUAUAUCUGGCAUCACUACUUUGGCUGGGCUAUAAAGAAACAGGAAUUUGGCAGUAUGUAUUAAAAUUACAAAUGCAUAUAUACUCGGAGCCUUGAAUUUCAUUUCCAGGGAUUUAUGCCACAGAUGUUUCCACACAUAAGAAAUAACAAGGUGUUUCUUAUUGUUGAGAAUAGCAAAAGAUUGGAAACAAGCUAAGUAUCUAUCAACAGGAUACUAGUUAAAUUAUGAUAGAGCCAUAUGUUUGAACAUUGUGCAGCUGUUAAUCAAAAAAACAGAAAGUUCUUUGUUUUAACAUUAAGAUCUCCAAGAUUUUUUUGUUAAGUGAAAAACACAGAAAUACGGUACAGAAUAUUGUAUUAAAUUGUAUAUGCAUUAAACUAGGACAAAGUAACAUGAGGUAUGAGAACACAGUAGAUGGAAAGCAUAAGAAAUAGACUUCAUUGUAUUCAUAUUUAAACUUUUUGAUAUUCAAAAUUUCAGAAUGUUUUAUCUAUUCAAAUAGUGAAAAUGUUUAAAAUUUUUCUGGCAUCUUUUUGUUGUUGUUGUUGUUAUUAAAACAUUCAGGCUUCUUCUGUUUUAUAAAAGUUUACCUGAGUAAAAUAAACAUAUCAAGGAGGCUGGGUGCAGUGGCUCAUGCCUAUAAUCCCAGCACUUUGGGAGGCUGAGGCGGGCAGAUUGCUUGAGCUCAGGAAUUCAAGACCAACCUGGGCAACAUGGCAAGACCCCAUCUCUAAUGAAAAUACAAAAAAAAAAAAAUAGCCAGGCAUGGUGGUGUGUGCCUGUGGUCUCAGCUACUCCAGAGGCUGAAGUAGGAGGAUCACUUCAACCCAGGAGGUGGAGGUUGCAGUUAGUCAAGAUUGUGACACUGCACUCCAGCCUGAGUAACAGAGUGAGACCAUGUCUCAAAUAAAUAAAUAAAUAAAUAAAUAAAUAAAAUCAGGUAAGCUAGUGCUCAUAGGCAAACUUUUGAAAACCUCAGAGUUUUUGUUCAGAUUGAAUGAUGUCUGUUUCUUACCGUAAUAAUUUAAAAUCCAGGUACAUUUAUUUUGAGGCUUAGUAUACAUUUUAUCAAAUGUAUAUAAAUUUUCAGAAGUACUCUAUUUUUCUUCAAGUUUAGUAGAGCCUUCCUUGAACAAGUUUUAACAAAUUGGAUCCUCCA